RNAcentral lists this ribosomal RNA (840 nucleotides) under Cutibacterium acnes. RNAcentral describes it as "bacterial SSU rRNA". It matches the Rfam family "Bacterial small subunit ribosomal RNA", at positions 91 to 943 of the family's 1533-position model. Lineage: Bacteria; Bacillati; Actinomycetota; Actinomycetes; Propionibacteriales; Propionibacteriaceae. The record is from RNAcentral.
UCGAGUGGCGAACGGGUGAGUAACACGUGAGUAACCUGCCCUUGACUUUGGGAUAACUUCAGGAAACUGGGGCUAAUACCGGAUAGGAGCUCCUGCUGCAUGGUGGGGGUUGGAAAGUUUCGGCGGUUGGGGAUGGACUCGCGGCUUAUCAGCUUGUUGGUGGGGUAGUGGCUUACCAAGGCUUUGACGGGUAGCCGGCCUGAGAGGGUGACCGGCCACAUUGGGACUGAGAUACGGCCCAGACUCCUACGGGAGGCAGCAGUGGGGAAUAUUGCACAAUGGGCGGAAGCCUGAUGCAGCAACGCCGCGUGCGGGAUGACGGCCUUCGGGUUGUAAACCGCUUUCGCCUGUGACGAAGCGUGAGUGACGGUAAUGGGUAAAGAAGCACCGGCUAACUACGUGCCAGCAGCCGCGGUGAUACGUAGGGUGCGAGCGUUGUCCGGAUUUAUUGGGCGUAAAGGGCUCGUAGGUGGUUGAUCGCGUCGGAAGUGUAAUCUUGGGGCUUAACCCUGAGCGUGCUUUCGAUACGGGUUGACUUGAGGAAGGUAGGGGAGAAUGGAAUUCCUGGUGGAGCGGUGGAAUGCGCAGAUAUCAGGAGGAACACCAGUGGCGAAGGCGGUUCUCUGGGCCUUUCCUGACGCUGAGGAGCGAAAGCGUGGGGAGCGAACAGGCUUAGAUACCCUGGUAGUCCACGCUGUAAACGGUGGGUACUAGGUGUGGGGUCCAUUCCACGGGUUCCGUGCCGUAGCUAACGCUUUAAGUACCCCGCCUGGGGAGUACGGCCGCAAGGCUAAAACUCAAAGGAAUUGACGGGGCCCCGCACAAGCGGCGGAGCAUGCG